CUCACCCGAUUUGAGGUCAAGGGUUCGUGGGGUCGAGGGAGCUUCCCGAGAAGGGAGACAUGCUCGAACAUUGUCUCGAUGCAAGGUCAAGACGGUUAGAAGCGGGUCCCAAAAGUGACAGAGCCAGAAACCAAGACAUGGAAACAUCUUAUCACACGUCGAGGAUCGGCAAAGAGGACCCUGCUAAUUCAUUUAAGAGGAGCUGGCCUUCAAAAGAGAGAGGUUCCAGCAAAGGCCUCCAAAGUCCAAGCCUGCCUUUGGUCUCCAGAAGAAACCAAGGAGGUUGAGGUUUUCACGACACUCAAACGGGUGUGCCCCUCGGAAUACCAAGGGGCGCAAGGUGCGUUCAAAGAUUCGAUGAUUCACUGAAUUCUGCAAUUCACAUUACGUAUCGCAUUUCGCUGCGUUCUUCAUCGAUGCGAGAGCCAAGAGAUCCGUUGUUGAAAGUUGUAUUGAUUGCGUGUUAGCGCAUAAAUGAGGUCAUUCUACACUUUUAAAAGGGGGGUUUGUGUGAAAACGCGAGCCCCCUCCGAGAUGAUCCCAAAGGGUGCCCACGCGGCGAUGCACAAAGGGUGAGAUGGAUUAUUAUGUGAGAGGACACACUCGGGCGUGCACGACUUUGAGUCAGCGACAGCCCUCACAUGCCCCUCACAUUUUGUACGAUAAUGAUCCUUCC
RNAcentral lists this unclassified non-coding RNA (676 nucleotides) under uncultured fungus. RNAcentral describes it as "sequence contains ITS1, 5.8S rRNA gene, ITS2 and 28S rRNA gene". The record is from RNAcentral. Lineage: Eukaryota; Fungi.